This 421-nucleotide ribosomal RNA is filed under the name uncultured archaeon. RNAcentral describes it as "partial 16S ribosomal RNA". It matches the Rfam family "Archaeal small subunit ribosomal RNA", at positions 323 to 746 of the family's 1478-position model. The record is from RNAcentral.
CUACGGGUUGCUCCAGUUAGGAAUAUUCUACAAUGCGCGCAAGCGUGAUAGAUUGAGCCAGAGUGUUUUUCAAAUGAAAAGCUUUUGUGAAAUGUAAAAAGUUUCACGAAUAAGGACUGGGUAAGACUAGUGCCAGCCGCCGCGGUAAUACUAGCGGUCCAAGUCGCAGCCAUUUUUAUUGGGUCUAAAACAUCCGUAGCUUGCUUAAUAAGUUCCUUGUGAAAUUUUAUCUCUCAAAGAUAGAGCGUGCAAGAAAUACUGUUAAGCUAGAGACUGGAAGACGUAACGAGUACGUUCGGAGUAGCGGUAAAAUGUGUUAAUCCUGGACGGACUAACAAUAGCGAAGGCACGUUACGAGGACAGUUCUGACAGUAAGGGAUGAAGGCUAGGGGCGCAAAACGGAUUAGAUACCCUCGUAGUC